CGACCGGCGCACGGGUGAGUAACGCGUAUCCAACCUGCCCACCACUUGGGGAUAACCUUGCGAAAGUAAGACUAAUACCCAAUGAUAUCUCUAGAAGACAUCUGAAAGAGAUUAAAGAUUUAUCGGUGAUGGAUGGGGAUGCGUCUGAUUAGCUUGUUGGCGGGGUAACGGUCCACCAAGGCAACGAUCAGUAGGGGUUCUGAGAGGAAGGUCCCCCACAUUGGAACUGAGACACGGUCCAA
RNAcentral lists this ribosomal RNA (242 nucleotides) under uncultured bacterium. RNAcentral describes it as "partial 16S ribosomal RNA". It matches the Rfam family "Bacterial small subunit ribosomal RNA", at positions 92 to 334 of the family's 1533-position model. The record is from RNAcentral.